Molecule: unclassified non-coding RNA, 285 nt
Filed under: plant metagenome
Description: partial contains small subunit ribosomal RNA, internal transcribed spacer 1, and 5.8S ribosomal RNA
Rfam family: Eukaryotic small subunit ribosomal RNA (bases 1-54)
Source: RNAcentral
GGAAGAAAAAGUCGUAACAAGGUUUCCGUAGGUGAACCUGCGGAAGGAUCAUUAUUGUAUAACCGAGGUGCGAGGGCUGUCGCUGACCCGAAAGGUCGUGCACGCCCGAGUGCCCUCACACACAUCCAUCUCACCCCUAUGUGCACCACCGCGUGGGUCCCCCUUUGGCUUGUUCGGAGGGGGGCUUACGUUUUCACACAAACUUUGUAUGCAGUGUAGAAUGUAUUUUUUGUUUUUGCGAUCACGCAAUCAAUACAACUUUCAACAACGGAUCUCUUGGUUCUG